AUCUACUGUUCCCCUGUGGUACAAGCCACAGGCCCACCAAAUUGUUUCAAUCAGGUACGCCUCUGUGCUCUGAGAGACUGGAGGAAGCUACCAGCUGGGGGAGGCACAGGUUCUCUACAAGGCUUAAGGCAGAGAGCCACUCAGGACUUGCCACAGUUUAUUGACAGAGUAAACAAGGCAAUAGAAGAGAAGGUGUCUCAGGAAGGAGCUAGGGCAGCACUAACCAAGGGUUUGAUCUGGGAUGGACUAAAUAAGGAACAUAGAGCAGCAGCGGCACCAGUACGCAAUGGCACACUGGAUGAAUGGACUUUGGCCACCCAGGAUAGAGGGACACAAGCAGCUCAAGCCUCUCUGCUGGCCUCAGCCAUGGCAGUUGCAUAAAAGCAGGACUAAGGAGGCUUGCAGACAGCUAGUCAGAGAACGCAAAAAAUAUGCAUCUUUUCUCCCCAGUGGCUCUUUACAACCUGAUGGAGUGAAUCCCCAAGAGUUAAAAUCUAAUGCUUUUUGGCAAAUGGAUGUCACUCACUAUGCACCUUUUGGAAAUUUAAAAUACAUUCAUGUAAUCCUUGAUGUCUAUUCAGGCUGUGUAAUGGCCACAGCCUCCACAGGAGAAACCACAAAAAGUCAUCUCCCAUCUACUUCAAUGUUUUGGAAUUAUGGGUGUUCCUAUGUCUAUUAAGACUGACAAAGGGCCAGCCUACCCGAGCAAGACAUUUCAAGCAGAUUGCAAUGAAUGGCAUAUAUAGCACUUAACUGGAAUCCCCUAUAACCCCCAGACUCAAGGCAUCAUAGAAAGAACACACAAGGAAUUAAAGACCAUGCUAUAAAACAUGGGGGAAACUAUACCGAGUCUCCUUGCAAUGCCUUGAACAAAACUUUAUUUGCUUUAAAUUUUCUCUCAAUGUCAAAAUUUUCUAUGGAAACAGCAGCUCAUAAACAUUGGGUCCCCCUCAUGGGGCCCUCCCAUCUUCCUAUGGUCUCAUGGAAGGAUCCCAUAACAAAUGCAUGGGGUGGUCUGGGGCCCCUCCUAACCAUGGGUCAAGGGUUUGCAUAUGUUAACAGGAGCCUCACCCCAUCUGGGUGCCUGCCAGAAAGUCAAGCCCUGGACCCCCAGAACCACCAACCAAGAAGAUGAAGGAACUAACUCUGGAGGAAAAACCUCACAGGCAAAGAACUCAACAACACUAAUGGACCUCACAUAAAGUAACCUGGGGUGAUCUUAAAGGUCUUGUUGACCAAGCCACCAGAUUGGCCCCUUUGCCUGGUGGCAACCCCAUCUCUGGGCCUAUGAUGGUGGUCCUACUGUGUGCAAUGCUCACUGCUAACAGUGAAGCCUCCUGUCAGGUAAAUUGAGCUUUGGUUACUAGGCCACCACCUUUAGCAGUUGCUAAUUAGGAAGGGGCUUUACCUGAGCUCUUCUCUAAUAAUUCCAACCUUAUUGAUCCUGAGUUAUUCAUCCAGGAGGUGACAGUACCCUGGAACCAGCAUUUCCAUAGCUACUCUGCCCAUUUGUUUCUCUGUAGUAGAUAAUGAAACCUAUAAUCCAGACAGUCACCUCUGUUUUGCUCUUGUCAAUGAAAUUUUUGUAGAUAACUAUAAUAAGCCUUAUGUUGGGCUGUCUCUCACUGACCUUAGAGUUACAGUUAAUGCUACCUAUGGCCAUAGACUCCCCCAUGGCAAAUGCAAGAAACCCUUGCUGCCAACAUGCCCAACAACGCUUUUUGGAAAGCCCCCCACCCC
This 1740-nucleotide long non-coding RNA is filed under the name Marmota monax (woodchuck). Lineage: Eukaryota; Metazoa; Chordata; Mammalia; Rodentia; Sciuridae. The record is from RNAcentral.